GGGUUGUGAGGUUAAGCGACUAAGCGUACACGGUGGAUGCCCUGGCAGUCAGAGGCGAUGAAGGACGUGCUAAUCUGCGAAAAGCGUCGGUAAGGUGAUAUGAACCGUUAUAACCGGCGAUGUCCGAAUGGGGAAACCCAGUGCAAUUCGUUGCACUAUCGUUAACUGAAUACAUAGGUUAACGAGGCGAACCGGGGGAACUGAAACAUCUAAGUACCCCGAGGAAAAGAAAUCAACCGAGAUUCCCCCAGUAGCGGCGAGCGAACGGGGAGCAGCCCAGAGUCUGAAUCAGCUUGUGUGUUAGUGGAACGGUCUGGAAAGUCCGACGGUACAGGGUGAUAGUCCCGUACACCAAAAUGCACAGGUUGUGAACUCGAAGAGUAGGGCGGGACACGUGGUAUCCUGUCUGAAUAUGGGGGGACCAUCCUCCAAGGCUAAAUACUCCUGACUGACCGAUAGUGAACCAGUACCGUGAGGGAAAGGCGAAAAGAACCCCGGCGAGGGGAGUGAAAAAGAACCUGAAACCGUGUACGUACAAGCAGUGGGAGCACCUUCGGGUGUGACUGCGUACCUUUUGUAUAAUGGGUCAGCGACUUAUAUUCUGUAGCAAGGUUAACCGUAUAGGGGAGCCGCAGGGAAACCGAGUCUUAACUGGGCGUUAAGUUGCAGGGUAUAGACCCGAAACCCGGUGAUCUAGCCAUGGGCAGGUUGAAGGUUGGGUAACACUAACUGGAGGACCGAACCGACUAAUGUUGAAAAAUUAGCGGAUGACUUGUGGCUGGGGGUGAAAGGCCAAUCAAACCGGGAGAUAGCUGGUUCUCCCCGAAAGCUAUUUAGGUAGCGCCUCGUGAAUUCAUCUUCGGGGGUAGAGCACUGUUUCGGCUAGGGGGUCAUCCCGACUUACCAACCCGAUGCAAACUACGAAUACCGAAGAAUGUUAUCACGGGAGACACACGGCGGGUGCUAACGUCCGUCGUGAAGAGGGAAACAACCCAGACCGCCAGCUAAGGUCCCAAAGUCAUGGUUAAGUGGGAAACGAUGUGGGAAGGCACAGACAGCCAGGAUGUUGGCUUAGAAGCAGCCAUCAUUUAAAGAAAGCGUAAUAGCUCACUGGUCGAGUCGGCCUGCGCGGAAGAUGUAACGGGGCUAAACCAUGCACCGAAGCUGCGGCAGCGACACUAUGUGUUGUUGGGUAGGGGAUCGUUCUGUAAGCCUGCGAAGGUGUGCUGUGAGGCAUGCUGGAGGUAUCAGAAGUGCGAAUGCUGACAUAAGUAACGAUAAAGCGGGUGAAAAGCCCGCUCGCCGGAAGACCAAGGGUUCCUGUCCAACGUUAAUCGGGGCAGGGUGAGUCGACCCCUAAGGCGAGGCCGAAAGGCGUAGUCGAUGGGAAACAGGUUAAUAUUCCUGUACUUGGUGUUACUGCGAAGGGGGGACGGAGAAGGCUAUGUUAGCCGGGCGACGGUUGUCCCGGUUUAAGCAUGUAGGCUGGUUGUCCAGGCAAAUCCGGAUAAUCAAGGCUGAGGUGUGAUGACGAGGCACUACGGUGCUGAAGUAACAAAUGCCCUGCUUCCAGGAAAAGCCUCUAAGCAUCAGGUAACAUUAAAUCGUACCCCAAACCGACACAGGUGGUCAGGUAGAGAAUACCAAGGCGCUUGAGAGAACUCGGGUGAAGGAACUAGGCAAAAUGGUGCCGUAACUUCGGGAGAAGGCACGCUGGUGUGUAGGUGAAGUCCCUGCGGAUGGAGCUGAGACCAGUCGAAGAUACCAGCUGGCUGCAACUGUUUAUUAAAAACACAGCACUGUGCAAACACGAAAGUGGACGUAUACGGUGUGACGCCUGCCCGGUGCCGGAAGGUUAAUUGAUGGGGUUAUCCGUAAGGAGAAGCUCUUGAUCGAAGCCCCGGUAAACGGCGGCCGUAACUAUAACGGUCCUAAGGUAGCGAAAUUCCUUGUCGGGUAAGUUCCGACCUGCACGAAUGGCGUAAUGAUGGCCAGGCUGUCUCCACCCGAGACUCAGUGAAAUUGAACUCGCUGUGAAGAUGCAGUGUACCCGCGGCAAGACGGAAAGACCCCGUGAACCUUUACUAUAGCUUGACACUGAACAUUGAGCCUUGAUGUGUAGGAUAGGUGGGAGGCUUUGAAGCGUGGACGCCAGUCUGCGUGGAGCCAACCUUGAAAUACCACCCUUUAAUGUUUGAUGUUCUAACGUUGGCCCCUUACCGGGGUUGCGGACAGUGUCUGGUGGGUAGUUUGACUGGGGCGGUCUCCUCCCAAAGCGUAACGGAGGAGCACGAAGGUUAGCUAAUCCUGGUCGGACAUCAGGAGGUUAGUGCAAUGGCAUAAGCUAGCUUGACUGCGAGCGUGACGGCGCGAGCAGGUGCGAAAGCAGGUCAUAGUGAUCCGGUGGUUCUGAAUGGAAGGGCCAUCGCUCAACGGAUAAAAGGUACUCCGGGGAUAACAGGCUGAUACCGCCCAAGAGUUCAUAUCGACGGCGGUGUUUGGCACCUCGAUGUCGGCUCAUCACAUCCUGGGGCUGAAGUAGGUCCCAAGGGUAUGGCUGUUCGCCAUUUAAAGUGGUACGCGAGCUGGGUUUAGAACGUCGUGAGACAGUUCGGUCCCUAUCUGCCGUGGGCGCUGGAGAAUUGAGGGGGGCUGCUCCUAGUACGAGAGGACCGGAGUGGACGCAUCACUGGUGUUCGGGUUGUCAUGCCAAUGGCACUGCCCGGUAGCUAAAUGCGGAAGAGAUAAGUGCUGAAAGCAUCUAAGCACGAAACUUGCCCCGAGAUGAGUUCUCCCUGAGACUUUAAGUCUCCUGAAGGAACGUUAAAGACGAUGACGUUGAUAGGCCGGGUGUGUAAGCGCAGCGAUGCGUUGAGCUAACCGGUACUAAUGAACCGUGAGGCUUAACCUUACAACGCCGAAG
This 2923-nucleotide ribosomal RNA is filed under the name Klebsiella pneumoniae. RNAcentral's name for it is "bacterial LSU rRNA". It matches the Rfam family "Bacterial large subunit ribosomal RNA". The record is from RNAcentral. Lineage: Bacteria; Pseudomonadati; Pseudomonadota; Gammaproteobacteria; Enterobacterales; Enterobacteriaceae.